GUUAAGCGACUAAGCGUACACGGUGGAUGCCCUGGCAGUCAGAGGCGAUGAAGGACGUGCUAAUCUGCGAUAAGCGUCGGUAAGGUGAUAUGAACCGUUAUAACCGGCGAUUUCCGAAUGGGGAAACCCAGUGUGUUUCGACACACUAUCAUUAACUGAAUCCAUAGGUUAAUGAGGCGAACCGGGGGAACUGAAACAUCUAAGUACCCCGAGGAAAAGAAAUCAACCGAGAUUCCCCCAGUAGCGGCGAGCGAACGGGGAGCAGCCCAGAGCCUGAAUCAGUGUGUGUGUUAGUGGAAGCGUCUGGAAAGGCGCGCGAUACAGGGUGACAGCCCCGUACACAAAAAUGCACAUGCUGUGAGCUCGAUGAGUAGGGCGGGACACGUGGUAUCCUGUCUGAAUAUGGGGGGACCAUCCUCCAAGGCUAAAUACUCCUGACUGACCGAUAGUGAACCAGUACCGUGAGGGAAAGGCGAAAAGAACCCCGGCGAGGGGAGUGAAAAAGAACCUGAAACCGUGUACGUACAAGCAGUGGGAGCACGCUUAGGCGUGUGACUGCGUACCUUUUGUAUAAUGGGUCAGCGACUUAUAUUCUGUAGCAAGGUUAACCGAAUAGGGGAGCCGAAGGGAAACCGAGUCUUAACUGGGCGUUAAGUUGCAGGGUAUAGACCCGAAACCCGGUGAUCUAGCCAUGGGCAGGUUGAAGGUUGGGUAACACUAACUGGAGGACCGAACCGACUAAUGUUGAAAAAUUAGCGGAUGACUUGUGGCUGGGGGUGAAAGGCCAAUCAAACCGGGAGAUAGCUGGUUCUCCCCGAAAGCUAUUUAGGUAGCGCCUCGUGAAUUCAUCUCCGGGGGUAGAGCACUGUUUCGGCAAGGGGGUCAUCCCGACUUACCAACCCGAUGCAAACUGCGAAUACCGGAGAAUGUUAUCACGGGAGACACACGGCGGGUGCUAACGUCCGUCGUGAAGAGGGAAACAACCCAGACCGCCAGCUAAGGUCCCAAAGUCAUGGUUAAGUGGGAAACGAUGUGGGAAGGCCCAGACAGCCAGGAUGUUGGCUUAGAAGCAGCCAUCAUUUAAAGAAAGCGUAAUAGCUCACUGGUCGAGUCGGCCUGCGCGGAAGAUGUAACGGGGCUAAACCAUGCACCGAAGCUGCGGCAGCGACGCUUAUGCGUUGUUGGGUAGGGGAGCGUUCUGUAAGCCUGCGAAGGUGUGCUGUGAGGCAUGCUGGAGGUAUCAGAAGUGCGAAUGCUGACAUAAGUAACGAUAAAGCGGGUGAAAAGCCCGCUCGCCGGAAGACCAAGGGUUCCUGUCCAACGUUAAUCGGGGCAGGGUGAGUCGACCCCUAAGGCGAGGCCGAAAGGCGUAGUCGAUGGGAAACAGGUUAAUAUUCCUGUACUUGGUGUUACUGCGAAGGGGGGACGGAGAAGGCUAUGUUGGCCGGGCGACGGUUGUCCCGGUUUAAGCGUGUAGGCUGGUUUUCCAGGCAAAUCCGGAAAAUCAAGGCUGAGGCGUGAUGACGAGGUACUACGGUGCUGAAGCAACAAAUGCCCUGCUUCCAGGAAAAGCCUCUAAGCAUCAGGUAACAUCAAAUCGUACCCCAAACCGACACAGGUGGUCAGGUAGAGAAUACCAAGGCGCUUGAGAGAACUCGGGUGAAGGAACUAGGCAAAAUGGUGCCGUAACUUCGGGAGAAGGCACGCUGAUAUGUAGGUGAAGUCCCUCGCGGAUGGAGCUGAAAUCAGUCGAAGAUACCAGCUGGCUGCAACUGUUUAUUAAAAACACAGCACUGUGCAAACACGAAAGUGGACGUAUACGGUGUGACGCCUGCCCGGUGCCGGAAGGUUAAUUGAUGGGGUCAGCGCAAGCGAAGCUCUUGAUCGAAGCCCCGGUAAACGGCGGCCGUAACUAUAACGGUCCUAAGGUAGCGAAAUUCCUUGUCGGGUAAGUUCCGACCUGCACGAAUGGCGUAAUGAUGGCCAGGCUGUCUCCACCCGAGACUCAGUGAAAUUGAACUCGCUGUGAAGAUGCAGUGUACCCGCGGCAAGACGGAAAGACCCCGUGAACCUUUACUAUAGCUUGACACUGAACAUUGAGCCUUGAUGUGUAGGAUAGGUGGGAGGCUUUGAAGUGUGGACGCCAGUCUGCAUGGAGCCGACCUUGAAAUACCACCCUUUAAUGUUUGAUGUUCUAACGUUGACCCGUGAUCCGGGUUGCGGACAGUGUCUGGUGGGUAGUUUGACUGGGGCGGUCUCCUCCUAAAGAGUAACGGAGGAGCACGAAGGUUGGCUAAUCCUGGUCGGACAUCAGGAGGUUAGUGCAAUGGCAUAAGCCAGCUUGACUGCGAGCGUGACGGCGCGAGCAGGUGCGAAAGCAGGUCAUAGUGAUCCGGUGGUUCUGAAUGGAAGGGCCAUCGCUCAACGGAUAAAAGGUACUCCGGGGAUAACAGGCUGAUACCGCCCAAGAGUUCAUAUCGACGGCGGUGUUUGGCACCUCGAUGUCGGCUCAUCACAUCCUGGGGCUGAAGUAGGUCCCAAGGGUAUGGCUGUUCGCCAUUUAAAGUGGUACGCGAGCUGGGUUUAGAACGUCGUGAGACAGUUCGGUCCCUAUCUGCCGUGGGCGCUGGAGAACUGAGGGGGGCUGCUCCUAGUACGAGAGGACCGGAGUGGACGCAUCACUGGUGUUCGGGUUGUCAUGCCAAUGGCACUGCCCGGUAGCUAAAUGCGGAAGAGAUAAGUGCUGAAAGCAUCUAAGCACGAAACUUGCCCCGAGAUGAGUUCUCCCUGACCCUUUAAGGGUCCUGAAGGAACGUUGAAGACGACGACGUUGAUAGGCCGGGUGUGUAAGCGCAGCGAUGCGUUGAGCUAACCGGUACUAAUGAACCGUGAGGCUUAACCUUACAACGCCGAAGGUGUUU
Molecule: ribosomal RNA, 2921 nt
Filed under: Escherichia coli
Lineage: Bacteria; Pseudomonadati; Pseudomonadota; Gammaproteobacteria; Enterobacterales; Enterobacteriaceae
Description: partial 23S ribosomal RNA
Rfam family: Bacterial large subunit ribosomal RNA
Source: RNAcentral